Molecule: ribosomal RNA, 292 nt
Filed under: uncultured Acidobacteriota bacterium
Lineage: Bacteria; Pseudomonadati; Acidobacteriota
Description: uncultured Acidobacteria bacterium partial 16S ribosomal RNA
Source: RNAcentral
GGACUACCCGGGUAUCUAAUCCUGUUUGCUCCCCUAGCUUUCGUUCCUCAGCGUCAGUUAUGGUCCAGCGCGCCGCUUUCGCCACGGGUGUUCCUGCAGAUAUCUACGCAUUUCACCGCUACACCUGCAAUUCCACGCGCCUCUCCCAUACUCAAGCACAGCAGUUUUGGAAGCAGCCUCUGAGUUAAGCCCAGAGAUUUCACUCCCAACUUGCCACACCGCCUACGAACCCUUUACACCCAGUAAUUCCGAACAACGCUGGCCCCCUACGUCUUACCGCGGCGGCUGGCAC